CCCUACGGGCGGCAGCAGUGGGGAAUCUUAGACAAUGGGGGCAACCCUGAUCUAGCCAUGCCGCGUGAGUGAUGAAGGCCUUAGGGUUGUAAAGCUCUUUCAGCUGGGAAGAUAAUGACGGUACCAGCAGAAGAAGCCCCGGCUAACUCCGUGCCAGCAGCCGCGGUAAUACGGAGGGGGCUAGCGUUGUUCGGAAUUACUGGGCGUAAAGCGCACGUAGGCGGAUUGGAAAGUUGGGGGUGAAAUCCCGGGGCUCAACCCCGGAACUGCCUCCAAAACUACCAGUCUUGAGGUCGAGAGAGGUGAGUGGAAUUCCGAGUGUAGAGGUGAAAUUCGUAGAUAUUCGGAGGAACACCAGUGGCGAAGGCGGCUCACUGGCUCGAUACUGACGCUGAGGUGCGAAAGCGUGGGGAGCAAACAGGAUUAGAUACCCGUGUAGUCCA
RNAcentral lists this ribosomal RNA (443 nucleotides) under uncultured Paracoccus sp. RNAcentral's name for it is "bacterial SSU rRNA". It matches the Rfam family "Bacterial small subunit ribosomal RNA", at positions 337 to 797 of the family's 1533-position model. The record is from RNAcentral. Lineage: Bacteria; Pseudomonadati; Pseudomonadota; Alphaproteobacteria; Rhodobacterales; Paracoccaceae.